GAACUUCCGGUUGGGGGGAGGGGUGUGGUGGGGGUGUUUAUGACUGCACUUCCGGUUGGUGUUGUUAUGUCAUGUAUAAUGUCUGCGUUGCGCCUGUAGGGGUCGCAGGGUGCAGGGAUCUGUAAGGGCCUAGUGUGCACUUAGGGGGCUUGUGAGAUUGUAUUGUGGGUGUGUACCUCAAAUAGUUUAAAAGGGGUGAGACGCCUGCUGUAGGGUCAUAGCAUUCAGCAGAUUGUCGUCAGUGUUCUUUUCGUUCAAACAUGGACUGCUCAUCAGAAGAUACCCAAGGAUCAAACAGCGCUAACUGGAUGUAUAGGGACCCUCGCACCCUGUCGCCCCUGUCUUCUCCCGCCAAGGACUACUCGGCAUCGAGCAUUGUGGACGGUGAAAGCCAGUUGUCUGAGGCGCAGGACAAUGAUGAACAUGUACAAAGUGGGGGCGUGGCUAUGGAGGCUGGUGAUUUAAAGGCCGUACAACCCGUACACCACUGGCUUCAGGAGUAUGCUGUCUAUCUGGCCGGAUUGAAUCUGUCCUUCCUACAAAUCGGAGAGGACAGUGAGCUGGAGGUGGACACUGCUAUGAGAGAUGACGGAUGGCCUGUAUCAACACAGAUCCAUUUAAACCCUGCGGCGCUGGGUGUUCUGCGAUUUACCACUGGUAUCUGCGUGGCAGCCAUCAUCACACAUCAGAAGCAAGCGGACUGCUGGGGGUGCCAAAGUGAUUGCCCAAGUCAACGACGCCAUUGCUGCAUGCAAGGAUCGACACAUCAUCACUAUGAAUCCCAUUACGAUACCAUAUGUCAUAUAUUGGAUAGACCCCCAUUCCUGCUACUUUUAGAAACUGUUUUAAAGAAGACUAUAGGGUUGACUGUGUCCCCAGGAAAAAUCUAUGGUGUGGUCGAUUCUUUUCUAUGUGAUUUAUUGGGCAACACCUAUGAUACCGAAAAACUGGAUUUAAUAACCAGCGAAGGGGUGCCCGAUGAACAGCUGCUUUUGAUAUAUGAAGCCACACAAAUGUGGCGUAAUACAUUGUCAUUCGGUAACACAAGGCCUGGUGUCAAGCGUCGUUUAUAAUGGGGGUGUUGUUUUCUUAUGCAUAUGAUGCGGAUAGCAAGUAUGUAUCAGAUAGACUAGCCGUUUUGAUGUAUGCUGCCAUAGAAAAUGAUACGUUUGUCCAACAUAAUGCUUAUAUCAAAUGUAUGUAUAAGGAUUGGAAUGAUUUGGUCAUGAAAUUCUUGUAUGAUAAACCUACUGAUCAAAUGAUAGCUGAAAUAUUUACCCAUUUCCCCGAUGGGGACUGUUUUACCGUCGGACAUGUCAUGUGUAUAUGUGCUUUUGUAUCGGAUGUCUUGAAGUUGAAUAAUCCCUCAAACGCAGAGGGUAUUAGAACUGCUCGCAUGAUGUCUUGUAAAAUGGUGCAGAGAAAUAAAACUGCCUGUAAAAUAUAUCUGCGCAUUGUAUCGAGGGGCCAGACAUUUUAAAUAAAAGGAUGGAUAACUCUG
This is a long non-coding RNA of Gadus morhua (Atlantic cod), 1501 nucleotides long. NCBI's taxonomy places the organism in Eukaryota, Metazoa, Chordata, Actinopteri, Gadiformes, Gadidae. The record is from Ensembl.